AGUGAACGCUGGCGGCAGGCCUAACACAUGCAAGUCGAACGGCAGCACAGUAAGAGCUUGCUCUUAUGGGUGGCGAGUGGCGGACGGGUGAGGAAUACAUCGGAAUCUACUCUUUCGUGGGGGAUAACGUAGGGAAACUUACGCUAAUACCGCAUACGACCUACGGGUGAAAGCGGAGGACCUUCGGGCUUCGCGCGAUUGAAUGAGCCGAUGUCGGAUUAGCUAGUUGGCGGGGUAAAGGCCCACCAAGGCGACGAUCCGUAGCUGGUCUGAGAGGAUGAUCAGCCACACUGGAACUGAGACACGGUCCAGACUCCUACGGGAGGCAGCAGUGGGGAAUAUUGGACAAUGGGCGCAAGCCUGAUCCAGCCAUGCCGCGUGGGUGAAGAAGGCCUUCGGGUUGUAAAGCCCUUUUGUUGGGAAAGAAAAGCAGUCGGUUAAUACCCGGUUGUUCUGACGGUACCCAAAGAAUAAGCACCGGCUAACUUCGUGCCAGCCGCCGCCGUAACAC
This 511-nucleotide ribosomal RNA is filed under the name uncultured bacterium. RNAcentral's name for it is "bacterial SSU rRNA". It matches the Rfam family "Bacterial small subunit ribosomal RNA", at positions 29 to 526 of the family's 1533-position model. The record is from RNAcentral.